Transfer RNA from Ovis aries (sheep), 72 nucleotides. It matches the Rfam family "tRNA". From Rfam's summary of the family: Transfer RNA (tRNA) molecules are approximately 80 nucleotides in length. The record is from Rfam. Lineage: Eukaryota; Metazoa; Chordata; Mammalia; Artiodactyla; Bovidae.
UCCCUGGUGGCUCAGAGGAUAAAGAGUCUGCCUGCAAAGCAGGAGACCCAGGUUCGAUCCCUGGUUUGGGAA